RNAcentral lists this ribosomal RNA (520 nucleotides) under uncultured soil bacterium. RNAcentral describes it as "bacterial SSU rRNA". It matches the Rfam family "Bacterial small subunit ribosomal RNA", at positions 26 to 508 of the family's 1533-position model. The record is from RNAcentral.
AGAACGAACGCUGGCGGCGUGCCUAACACAUGCAAGUCGAACGAGAAAGGGGCUUCGGCUCCGAGUAAAGUGGCGCACGGGUGAGUAACACGUAGGUAACCUGCCUCUAAGAUUGGGAUAACUUGUCGAAAGACGAGCUAAUACCAAAUAAGACCACGGUCUCCUCGGGGACAGAGGUCAAAGGUAGCCUCUAUUUAUAAGCUAUCGCUGAGAGAUGGGCCUGCGUACCAUUAGCUUGUUGUGAGGUAACGGCUCACCAAGGCAAAGAUGGUUAGCUGGUCUGAGAGGAUGAUCAGCCACACUGGAACUGAGACACGGUCCAGACUCCUACGGGAGGCAGCGAGUGGGGAAUAGUUGCGCAAUGGGCGAAAGCCUGACGCAGCAACGCCGCGUGAGUGAUGAAGGCCGUUCGGUCGUAAAGCUCGUGUCGGAGGAACGAAGUCGCGUCCUAGAAGUUAACAGUCGUUACGGGAGGUCGACGGUACCCUAGAAACGGAACGCCACCGGACUAACGUCGUCG